Molecule: ribosomal RNA, 1686 nt
Filed under: Salmonella enterica subsp. enterica serovar Havana
Lineage: Bacteria; Pseudomonadati; Pseudomonadota; Gammaproteobacteria; Enterobacterales; Enterobacteriaceae
Description: partial 23S ribosomal RNA
Rfam family: Bacterial large subunit ribosomal RNA
Source: RNAcentral
AUCACUUAAAGCGAUUCAGCGGGUUACGAUUGACGGAGCGAAGCGACGUCAAAGCGUAUACAAAGUCGAGUCGGUUUAAGGAUACGUUCGUUGGGUAGGGGAGCGUUCUGUAAGCCUGUGAAGGUGUGUCGUGAGGCAUGCUGGAGGUAUCAGAAGUGCGAAUGCUGACAUAAGUAACGAUAAAGCGGGUGAAAAGCCCGCUCGCCGGAAGACCAAGGGUUCCUGUCCAACGUUAAUCGGGGCAGGGUGAGUCGACCCCUAAGGCGAGGCCGAAAGGCGUAGUCGAUGGGAAACGGGUUAAUAUUCCCGUACUUGGUGUUACUGCGAAGGGGGGACGGAGAAGGCUAUGUUGGCCGGGCGACGGUUGUCCCGGUUUAAGCGUGUAGGUGUGUGUUCCAGGUAAAUCCGGUUCACUUUAACACUGAGGCGUGAUGACGAGGCACUACGGUGCUGAAGCAACAAAUGCCCUGCUUCCAGGAAAAGCCUCUAAGCAUCAGGUAACAUCAAAUCGUACCCCAAACCGACACAGGUGGUCAGGUAGAGAAUACCAAGGCGCUUGAGAGAACUCGGGUGAAGGAACUAGGCAAAAUGGUGCCGUAACUUCGGGAGAAGGCACGCUGACACGUAGGUGAAGUGAUUUACUCAUGGAGCUGAAGUCAGUCGAAGAUACCAGCUGGCUGCAACUGUUUAUUAAAAACACAGCACUGUGCAAACACGAAAGUGGACGUAUACGGUGUGACGCCUGCCCGGUGCCGGAAGGUUAAUUGAUGGGGUCAGCGCAAGCGAAGCUCCUGAUCGAAGCCCCGGUAAACGGCGGCCGUAACUAUAACGGUCCUAAGGUAGCGAAAUUCCUUGUCGGGUAAGUUCCGACCUGCACGAAUGGCGUAAUGAUGGCCAGGCUGUCUCCACCCGAGACUCAGUGAAAUUGAACUCGCUGUGAAGAUGCAGUGUACCCGCGGCAAGACGGAAAGACCCCGUGAACCUUUACUAUAGCUUGACACUGAACAUUGAGCCUUGAUGUGUAGGAUAGGUGGGAGGCUUUGAAGUGUGGACGCCAGUCUGCAUGGAGCCGACCUUGAAAUACCACCCUUUAAUGUUUGAUGUUCUAACGUGGACCCGUAAUCCGGGUUGCGGACAGUGUCUGGUGGGUAGUUUGACUGGGGCGGUCUCCUCCUAAAGAGUAACGGAGGAGCACGAAGGUUGGCUAAUCCUGGUCGGACAUCAGGAGGUUAGUGCAAUGGCAUAAGCCAGCUUGACUGCGAGCGUGACGGCGCGAGCAGGUGCGAAAGCAGGUCAUAGUGAUCCGGUGGUUCUGAAUGGAAGGGCCAUCGCUCAACGGAUAAAAGGUACUCCGGGGAUAACAGGCUGAUACCGCCCAAGAGUUCAUAUCGACGGCGGUGUUUGGCACCUCGAUGUCGGCUCAUCACAUCCUGGGGCUGAAGUAGGUCCCAAGGGUAUGGCUGUUCGCCAUUUAAAGUGGUACGCGAGCUGGGUUUAGAACGUCGUGAGACAGUUCGGUCCCUAUCUGCCGUGGGCGCUGGAGAACUGAGGGGGGCUGCUCCUAGUACGAGAGGACCGGAGUGGACGCAUCACUGGUGUUCGGGUUGUCAUGCCAAUGGCACUGCCCGGUAGCUAAAUGCGGAAGAGAUAAGUGCUGAAAGCAUCUAAGCACGAAACUUGCCCCGA